AGAGUUUGAUCCUGGCUCAGAUUGAACGCUGGCGGCAGGCCUAACACAUGCAAGUCGAGCGGUAGCACAGAGAGCUUGCUCUCGGGUGACGAGCGGCGGACGGGUGAGUAAUGUCUGGGAAACUGCCUGAUGGAGGGGGAUAACUACUGGAAACGGUAGCUAAUACCGCAUAACGUCGCAAGACCAAAGUGGGGGACCUUCGGGCCUCAUGCCAUCAGAUGUGCCCAGAUGGGAUUAGCUAGUAGGUGGGGUAACGGCUCACCUAGGCGACGAUCCCUAGCUGGUCUGAGAGGAUGACCAGCCACACUGGAACUGAGACACGGUCCAGACUCCUACGGGAGGCAGCAGUGGGGAAUAUUGCACAAUGGGCGCAAGCCUGAUGCAGCCAUGCCGCGUGUGUGAAGAAGGCCUUCGGGUUGUAAAGCACUUUCAGCGGGGAGGAAGGCUGUGAGGUUAAUAACCUCACCGAUUGACGUUACCCGCAGAAGAAGCACCGGCUAACUCCGUGCCAGCAGCCGCGGUAAUACGGAGGGUGCAAGCGUUAAUCGGAAUUACUGGGCGUAAAGCGCACGCAGGCGGUCUGUCAAGUCGGAUGUGAAAUCCCCGGGCUCAACCUGGGAACUGCAUUCGAAACUGGCAGGCUAGAGUCUUGUAGAGGGGGGUAGAAUUCCAGGUGUAGCGGUGAAAUGCGUAGAGAUCUGGAGGAAUACCGGUGGCGAAGGCGGCCCCCUGGACAAAGACUGACGCUCAGGUGCGAAAGCGUGGGGAGCAAACAGGAUUAGAUACCCUGGUAGUCCACGCUGUAAACGAUGUCGAUUUGGAGGUUGUGCCCUUGAGGCGUGGCUUCCGGAGCUAACGCGUUAAAUCGACCGCCUGGGGAGUACGGCCGCAAGGUUAAAACUCAAAUGAAUUGAUGGGGGCCCGCACAAGCGGUGGAGCAUGUGGUUUAAUUCGAUGCAACGCGAAGAACCUUACCUGGUCUUGACAUCCACAGAACUUUCCAGAGAUGGAUUGGUGCCUUCGGGAACUGUGAGACAGGUGCUGCAUGGCUGUCGUCAGCUCGUGUUGUGAAAUGUUGGGUUAAGUCCCGCAACGAGCGCAACCCUUAUCCUUUGUUGCCAGCGGUCCGGCCGGGAACUCAAAGGAGACUGCCAGUGAUAAACUGGAGGAAGGUGGGGAUGACGUCAAGUCAUCAUGGCCCUUACGACCAGGGCUACACACGUGCUACAAUGGCAUAUACAAAGAGAAGCGACCUCGCGAGAGCAAGCGGACCUCAUAAAGUAUGUCGUAGUCCGGAUUGGAGUCUGCAACUCGACUCCAUGAAGUCGGAAUCGCUAGUAAUCGUAGAUCAGAAUGCUACGGUGAAUACGUUCCCGGGCCUUGUACACACCGCCCGUCACACCAUGGGAGUGGGUUGCAAAAGAAGUAGGUAGCUUAACCUUCGGGAGGGCGCUUACCACUUUGUGAUUCAUGACUGGGGUGAAGUCGUAACAAGGUA
Molecule: ribosomal RNA, 1498 nt
Filed under: Klebsiella sp. L354
Lineage: Bacteria; Pseudomonadati; Pseudomonadota; Gammaproteobacteria; Enterobacterales; Enterobacteriaceae
Description: bacterial SSU rRNA
Rfam family: Bacterial small subunit ribosomal RNA
Source: RNAcentral